GAGGAUGUAGCUCAGUUGACAGUGCUUGUUUAGCAUGCAUGAGGCCCUGGGUUCAAUCCCCAGCACUGCCA
Molecule: transfer RNA, 71 nt
Filed under: Fukomys damarensis (Damara mole-rat)
Lineage: Eukaryota; Metazoa; Chordata; Mammalia; Rodentia; Bathyergidae
Rfam family: tRNA
About the family: Transfer RNA (tRNA) molecules are approximately 80 nucleotides in length. Their secondary structure includes four short double-helical elements and three loops (D, anti-codon, and T loops).
Source: Rfam by way of RNAcentral